GACGAACGCUGGCGGCGUGCUUAACACAUGCAAGUCGAACGGUAAGGCCCUUCGGGGUACACGAGUGGCGAACGGGUGAGUAACACGUGGGUGAUCUACCCUGCACUUCGGGAUAAGCCUGGGAAACUGGGUCUAAUACCGGAUAGGACCACUGCCUGCAUGGGUGGUGGUGGAAAGCUUUUGCGGUGUGGGAUGGGCCCGCGGCCUAUCAGCUUGUUGGUGGGGUGAUGGCAUACCAAGGCGACGACGGGUAGCCGGCCUGAGAGGGUGACCGGCCACACUGGGACUGAGAUACGGCCCAGACUCCUACGGGAGGCAGCAGUGGGGAAUAUUGCACAAUGGGCGCAAGCCUGAUGCAGCGACGCCGCGUGAGGGAUGACGGCCUUCGGGUUGUAAACCUCUUUCAGCACCGACGAAGCGCAAGUGACGGUAGGUGCAGAAGAAGGACCGGCCAACUACGUGCCAGCAGCCGCCGUAA
This 478-nucleotide ribosomal RNA is filed under the name uncultured bacterium. Its description in RNAcentral is "partial 16S ribosomal RNA". It matches the Rfam family "Bacterial small subunit ribosomal RNA", at positions 28 to 523 of the family's 1533-position model. The record is from RNAcentral.